This is a long non-coding RNA of Lotus japonicus, 2307 nucleotides long. RefSeq lists it as uncharacterized. The transcript is spliced from 2 exons. The record is from RefSeq and is a predicted model, not a curated record. NCBI's taxonomy places the organism in Eukaryota, Viridiplantae, Streptophyta, Magnoliopsida, Fabales, Fabaceae.
AAAAGGAGGUUGAAGCUCAGUAUGCUCUGCAGAGCAAAGGAACAGGAAUUAUUACAAUCAACUGGCAAAAUAUUACGCAAAUCGAGAUGGAUGGAUGGAUGUUGAGACAUGGGCUGAAAACACAACAGAUCAUGGUAUCUUGACUUAUAUUCCCACCCCAAUCAGUAUUCAUGUCGCCUCAAACGAUGUAAGUACUGAAGUUAAAGAUGAUUUGACGAUUCAAGUAGUUGAAGACAAAGAAUCCCCAAAAGGAGACGUUGUCACUAAUCUUGAGUUGGAAAGCAAGGAGACAGGGGAAGAAUUACUGGAAGAGAAGCCUGAGUUAUCCCAUGUUGAUGGAAGCUGGAAGCUGAAGACGGAAUUCUGAGUCUGAGCAACUUUAUCUGUUCUGUUCCUAUGAGUUCAAAGCGAGAGCAAGGAUAGAAUCUUCUCCGAUCUUCAUUAAAAUCAAAAGGGGAGGAUUUUCUUAGUUAUUAUCUUGAUAAAUUAAUCCUCUUUGCUUUGCUGUCUAAUAUUGCAGGUACUGUGUGGAAGCCACUGAUUCAGAAUAUGCAUCCUCUAGGUGAUUGGAUGCAUAUAGCUAUAGACCCUGGCUGAAAUUCUGAAACUGAACAAGUCCAUCGAAGACUUUAACAUCGGGCUUCUUGGGAUACAACCCAAGGAAGGUUUAAAAGUAUUUCGUGCUUUCUAGUAGUCUUUAAUUCAAGGCUUAAAUAAGUUUUUGGUCCCUAACCUUUACUAAAUGUUUGGUUUUCGUCCCUCGUCGGAGUAAAGGUGAGUUUUAGUCCCUAACCUUUGUCAAAAGAUUUGGUUUUGGUCCCUCCGGAGCUCUAGGUCAACGCCGGAGCUCUGGGAAGCUCAUGUGGCAUGACCACGUCAUUUAAUGAGCUGAGGUGGAUUUUUUUAUUUCUUUUCAUUUAAAAAAAUAAAAAAUAAAAACACUAAUUAACCUAACCCAAAUCUUCAAAGAAAAACUCAGGAUUCAUCAUCUUCAUCUCAGGAUUCAUCAUCUCUUCUUCUUCUUCUUCAAGCGCAUGAUCUCGUCUCUCCGUCAGGCCCGCACCGCACACCGUCUCUCUGUUCGCCGUUCUGGAUCCACCUCAAAACCCACUACCCACUACCCCUAAGAACCCAAAUUUCCCAGAUAUACGACCUCCACCACCCAAACUCUGAAUAAUCUUCGUUUUCGUCUUCAACCUUGAAGCGUGAACGCUUCAUUCAAGCUCUGGCAGAACUGCGUUUUCGUGCUCUGGCAGAUCUGGGUGGAGAAUGUAGGUUUUGUGGGUGGAGAAGAGAAAAUGGGUUUGAACAUUGAUUUCACGAUGGGAGCAGAAUCAGGAUUCAUUCGAUUUGAAGAAAGUGAAGCGGCUCAAACAUCUCGUGCUGCUGCUGUUAUUUCAGAGAAUGGGGGCUUGGUUGUGAAGAAUUACAUUGUUAUGCUAGAUCCAGUGACUGGUGAGGCUGAAAAAGAAUACUGUAGAAUAAAUGAGUUGGGGGUAUUUGUGUUAGAAAUGGAACCAGAGCACUGCCAACACUUGUGAAUUCCACCGUGAAUGCAAUAGAGGCCUAACUCUGUUUUGACAUACAUGUUGAACUUGGUAAGUUUAGUUGAGCUUAGAAGAGACUUGGUAGGUUUUCUUGAGGCCUCAUCAUUUUGUUGAAAAGCAUAUUCCUUAGUUGCCCCCUUUGAGUCUUAAAUUUAUAUUUCUUUCUACCUUGGAACAACUGGAAUAUCUAACUUAGUGAGUGUUUGUAAUUUUGUGUUGAGCAGGAAAAAAUUGAAAGUUGAGUCCCUUUCUACCAAAAAUUAUGCAAGGAAAUUGUGCAGAAAAAAUAAGCAAAGUGCAAAAGAAAAAGAAAAAGAAAAUGACAAAAGUCAUAUGCGCUUAAAAAGAAAAAGAAAAAAAUCAAAAGCACUUAGCAAAAGCAUAAGUAGAAAGGGGGAAAACUCAUAUUUGUUCUUAAUAGUCUGCUUGAAUUGUAAUGUUUUAAAUAAUCACUCACUAAGGCUUUCAAACAAUAAUGAGCCCUUUGAAUUCCCUUUUCUUGAUUAUCCUACCUUAGCCCAGCCAAGUUACAUCCUUGAUUCGGUCUCACUGCUCUUUUAUUCUUUCUUUGUUUGAUGUGAUUGAUAACCAGAGUCAAGGUUUUGUACAGGUUUGUCAGAUGCACCCCAAAAAUGGUAAGAUGAGUGCUCAUGUGAGAUUUGAUGAACUCUUGUUAGUUUUGUUAUGCUUGCUUAUUAUCUUUGUGAAAGAUUUGUGUUCAACUAAUCUCAUUUGUUUGAUGUGCUUUGAGUCUCAAGAA